RNAcentral lists this ribosomal RNA (379 nucleotides) under uncultured cyanobacterium. Its description in RNAcentral is "bacterial SSU rRNA". It matches the Rfam family "Bacterial small subunit ribosomal RNA", at positions 376 to 770 of the family's 1533-position model. Lineage: Bacteria; Bacillati; Cyanobacteriota. The record is from RNAcentral.
CGAAAGCCUGACGGAGCAACGCCGCGUGAGGGAUGAAGGCCUCUGGGCUGUAAACCUCUUUUAUCGAGGAAGAAGAUCUGACGGUACUUGAUGAAUAAGCCACGGCUAAUUCCGUGCCAGCAGCCGCGGUAAUACGGGAGUGGCAAGCGUUAUCCGGAAUUAUUGGGCGUAAAGCGUCCGCAGGCGGUCUUUUAAGUCUGUCGUUAAAGCGUGGAGCUUAACUCCAUUUGAGCGAUGGAAACUGCAAGACUAGAGUGUGGUAGGGGCAGAGGGAAUUCCCGGUGUAGCGGUGAAAUGCGUAGAUAUCGGGAAGAACACCAGUGGCGAAGGCGCUCUGCUGGGCCAUAACUGACGCUCAUGGACGAAAGCCAGGGGAGCG